RNAcentral lists this transfer RNA (72 nucleotides) under Mesocricetus auratus (golden hamster). It matches the Rfam family "tRNA". From Rfam's summary of the family: Transfer RNA (tRNA) molecules are approximately 80 nucleotides in length. Their secondary structure includes four short double-helical elements and three loops (D, anti-codon, and T loops). Further hydrogen bonds mediate the characteristic L-shaped molecular structure. tRNAs have two regions of fundamental functional importance: the anti-codon, which is responsible for specific mRNA codon recognition, and the 3' end, to which the tRNAs corresponding amino acid is attached (by aminoacyl-tRNA synthetases). tRNAs cope with the degeneracy of the genetic code in two manners: having more than one tRNA (with a specific anti-codon) for a particular amino acid; and 'wobble' base-pairing, i.e. permitting non-standard base-pairing at the 3rd anti-codon position. Lineage: Eukaryota; Metazoa; Chordata; Mammalia; Rodentia; Cricetidae. The record is from Rfam by way of RNAcentral.
GGGAAUAUAGCUUAGUGGUAGAGCAUUUGCUUAGCAAGCGUGUUAAGGCCCUGGGUUCCAUUCCUAAUCCCU